Grus americana (Whooping crane) is the source of this 926-nucleotide long non-coding RNA. RefSeq lists it as uncharacterized. The record is from RefSeq and is a predicted model, not a curated record. NCBI's taxonomy places the organism in Eukaryota, Metazoa, Chordata, Aves, Gruiformes, Gruidae. The transcript has 6 exons.
GCAGGGAAGCCAGCAGCCCCCGCAGCAGGCAAACGGCCUCAGGCGGUGGUGCAGAGCCCGGCCCAGGCUCCCCCAGGGCCGGCAGUGCGUGGCACCGGCUGUGAGCUGCGCAGGGACACCCACGCUCUCAGCCCCGGCGGAGAGCAGCCAUGAGCUGGAGGCUGAGCUAUUCCUAAGCCUACCUAAAGGCAGAACUUGUUCAUGCAGAAAGGCGCGUGCCUGCAGCCCACGCUCCCUCCCUGGACUGUGUAGCCUUGCCGAUGUGAAUUUUGGAUUGAGCUGAAGAAGCUACUGAUAAUGUUUUGCUUGUGCUGAUCAAAACCUCAUCGUGCUCCAUCCUGGUCCUCUCCUCUUUUGGUCUCCAAGAGGCACUCAUUUUCCUGUCUGACUGCCAAGCAUCGAAGCAGUUUUUCCCACUGACUCUGUACUCAGGAGAGUGAUGAAGCUGUAUUUUCAUCCACGGCUUCAGAGCAUCCUCCUGGGGAGACACAGGCACGGCGCAGAUCUGUGGAGUCUCUCUUCAGCAUCGCUCAGAGCAUCGCAUCAACUCCAGCACUCACAUGCACCCCAGCAGGGAUUUGCUGUCGUCUGAGGGGACCUGCUGUCAUUACUUCACCUCUAAGGUGAAUACCUUGUAAAGCUGUUAUGGCCAAGGGUAUCAAAAAGCUGCUCAAGCCCUUCAGGAAAAGCAAAGCUCUGCAGUCAUUAGCAAAUACUUGUGAUGUGCUACCAUGUUGAAAGAGAAAGCUACUCCCAUUCAGCAGCAAAUGGGGGCAAAUCUAGGAGCCGAGCCCGCAUCGGAUGCCCGUCCCGGCGGCGGACGGCGGGAUACACCUUUCCUUAUCUAUCCCUCGCUGGAAGAAAUGGAGACACUGUUAACGUUAUCAUUACAAAAAUUCAGAGAGAUGUGGAAGCAUGUAGGGAUG